RNAcentral lists this ribosomal RNA (757 nucleotides) under uncultured Enterobacteriaceae bacterium. RNAcentral describes it as "bacterial SSU rRNA". It matches the Rfam family "Bacterial small subunit ribosomal RNA", at positions 28 to 776 of the family's 1533-position model. Lineage: Bacteria; Pseudomonadati; Pseudomonadota; Gammaproteobacteria; Enterobacterales; Enterobacteriaceae. The record is from RNAcentral.
AUUGAACGCUGGCGGCAGGCCUAACACAUGCAAGUCGAGCGGUAGCACAGGGAGCUUGCUCCUGGGUGACGAGCGGCGGACGGGUGAGUAAUGUCUGGGAAACUGCCUGAUGGAGGGGGAUAACUACUGGAAACGGUAGCUAAUACCGCAUAACGUCUACGGACCAAAGUGGGGGACCUUCGGGCCUCAUGCCAUCAGAUGUGCCCAGAUGGGAUUAGCUAGUAGGUGGGGUAAUGGCUCACCUAGGCGACGAUCCCUAGCUGGUCUGAGAGGAUGACCAGCCACACUGGAACUGAGACACGGUCCAGACUCCUACGGGAGGCAGCAGUGGGGAAUAUUGCACAAUGGGCGCAAGCCUGAUGCAGCCAUGCCGCGUGUGUGAAGAAGGCCUUCGGGUUGUAAAGCACUUUCAGCGAGGAGGAAGGGUAGUGUGUUAAUAGCACAUUGCAUUGACGUUACUCGCAGAAGAAGCACCGGCUAACUCCGUGCCAGCAGCCGCGGUAAUACGGGGGGUGCAAGCGUUAAUCGGAAUUACUGGGCGUAAAGCGCACGCAGGCGGUUUGUUAAGUCAGAUGUGAAAUCCCCGCGCUUAACGUGGGAACUGCAUUUGAAACUGGCAAGCUAGAGUCUUGUAGAGGGGGGUAGAAUUCCAGGUGUAGCGGUGAAAUGCGUAGAGAUCUGGAGGAAUACCGGUGGCGAAGGCGGCCCCCUGGACAAAGACUGACGCUCAGGUGCGAAAGCGUGGGGAGCAAACAGG